GUAUUACGGCUCCCUCCGUGUUCCUCACCCCUAAGUGGCCUGUGACUCUGAAGGGCUUGAGGUGUAGUUGAAGAGCAAAGACUGGCUUGUUGGUUCAUGUGGAGGAAGUAAAGUUGAAGAAGGAAAGGGGAAAGAGAUUAAUCCUGUGCAAAGGCUCUCCUGACCUGUGCCUUUUUACUCCAUUGCAAGGGAGACAGGUAUCCACUUCUCUUUCCUGUCUAGUGAGAGUAGGGCUCAAUUCAUGGCAUCACAUGUAACCGCCAUCCGGAACAGUGUCCAUGGAGGUGUUGCCCCAGAUAUUUCAGGAGAGGGGUCAGUGACAAUCCAGGAUGUGGCUGUGGACUUCACCCCAGAGGAGUGGCAGCUGCUUGACUGUGAUCAGAGAACCUUGUACUGGGAUGUGAUGUUGGACAACGUUAGAAACCUCAUCUCAGUGGGGGACCCAGCUACUGAAGCAAAAGUGGUCUUCAAGAUGGAGCAAGGACAAGAACCAUGGAUGGUGGAGGGAGUGAACCCACAUUGGUGCCAUCCAGGGUAAUGGUGGUAGAAACUGAAGAAUGAGUGAUUUUCUGAAUAUCCCUCAGCUCUAAGUUAAGCCUUGUCUUACAACGUUUUCAUACUGAUUGUAUGCUAAUUAAACAUAAGUCAGUCACACCAAAUCACUUGGAAAACCACAAACCAUAUUACAGUAUAUAUGUAAAUUGCUUAUAAACUGAGGGAGCUUUUUGCAAGUUACCCUGCCUUAUCUCUCAUUUCCUGUUAAAGCUGUCAUUUUGCUUUUUAAGUUAUUCUUACCCUCCUAGGUAUUUCUCAGCUCCUGUUCUUGGCAGUAAUAACAUCUGAGCAAAUCCAAAUUUUAAGAUGGCAAGAAGAUUCCCUUGGAGGGUAGUGAGUGUCUCAUUGCUGCUAGAAUGAUGUGAGACCCCUAAAAAGAGGCCUGAUGCAUCAAGGUGGCAGACAGAAUAAGAAUGAGCCUGGGACUUUUAUUUGGUGUUAUGAUCUGAGUUCUAUGAAUUAAACUGUUUGCUCCCUUUCUUUUUUUCUUUUCUUUUUAAAUUAUUUACUCUUAAACAUUCAUGUUUUGUUUGCUUCUCCCCUCACAGUUCUCUCUCUAACACCAUCACACGUCAGGCCAGGCACUCCUGGCCACAGUGUUUCAGAGAAGUUUGCUCCUUUUCUUCAGUGCCAGAGUUAGGACAGUAAAAGAAUUAGUUGUAUGAACCAUACAGAACCAAAAUUAAAUGGAUGUUUAAAAAGUUGAAACAAACAAAUUUUUUUUUCUAUUUAAACCAAGUAAUUGUCAGGCACUAAAACAAAAAUGAAUUCCACAAAUUCUAAUGCAAUUCAUGGGCCUAGAGCUCACAAUUGAGAAGGGAAAACUGGGCCUCAACUGUUGUAUAUAUGCAAAUACAAAGAUCAGCAGCAACAUUCCUAGAUUGUGAGGUAUGUGGAAAACCAUGUCUACUAAUAAUCAAAUAUGCAAAGCAUUUUUAAGUAAAAUCAAGUGAAUUUUUAAAGUUCUUUUUAUAAAAAGUACACAUUUUUAUUGAAUAAAAUAGGGUUCCAAGGAGCACUAAAUGUUUACACAUCAUUGGAAGACUGUCAUCUCUUUCAAGACCCUAUUUUGUUAUUGAUUGCUGUGACCACAAGUUACUGUAAUGUUUUACUUUCUUGUACAUAUUUUCAAAAUAUAUAUAAUGCAAAAUUUAUCUUUUUUUUAAAUUGCAGUAUAAUUGACAUAUAUAACUUACAGGUGUACAACAUAGUCAAUAUUUGUAUAUAUUGUGAAAUGUUCACCAUAAGUUUAAUUAACAUCAAUUAAAACACAGUUAUAAAAAUUUUUCUUCUUGUGAUAAGAACUUUUAAGAUUUACUCUCAGCAACUUUCAAAUAUACAAUACAGUAUUAUUAACUAUAGUCACCAUGCUAUAUGUUACAUCCCAUAACUUAACUUAUUUUGUAAUUGUUAGUUUUUACCUAUUGACUCCCUUCAUCCAUUUUGCUCAACCUCAACCCCUGUUCUCUCUGUCUGUGAAUUUGGGGGUUUUUGUUAUUUUAGAUUCUACACAUGAGAUCAAAAGUAUUUGACUUUUUCUGUCUGACUUGCUUCACUUAGUAUAAUACCUUCUAGGUCCAUCCUUGUUGUCACAAAUGGUAAGAUGUCAUUCUUUUUUCUGGCUAAUAAUCUAUUGUAUAUAUGUAAACCACAUUUUCUUUAUUCAUCUAUUGAUGGACACUUAGGUUGCUUCAUAGCUUGACCAUUGUAAGUAAUGCUGCAAGAUAACAAUUUAACAACUAGUUAUUAUUUUCAAGUAAUAGGUUUAGUAUGUUUUCUUUCAACCUCAGAUACAUUAGUGGGCAAAGCACUUCUAUAUUUAAAGUUGUAAGUAUGACCAUUAAUCUGAAGAAAAGGAUGAUAAAAAAUUAUUUACCCACGUCUAGACUUUUUUGACACCUAGUAUUCCAGUACUAGAACAGAUAUAUUGCUAUGUGGGGAGCUUUCUACCACUGACUACAUUUUUUUCCUAUAUAACUUCAACCCCAGAACAUGAUUUUGGCAAGAAAAACACCAAAAUGUUAUUUACACUCAGCUAAACAUGAUCUUAGAUCCCCAGAAACCCCUUUUUCUUUAUUUGAAGGCUGUACUUUUGUCUAGUCAAAAAAUCUGAAAUAGUCAUGUGUAAUUGUAGGGAAGUUCCAUGGCCAGGAUCCUCCCCUGAUCCUAACCUACUCACCCAUCGUGUAGAUGCAGUGAUGUAAUACUUAGCCUACUGCGCAGGCACAUGCUUGCAUGCCCAUUGGUGAUAAGCCAUUACUGCCUGUGUUGCUAUAAGAAGAGCUCUGCCCAGUGCUAGGAGGAGAGCAGAGCCUGGAGCAGAGACAGAGCCUGAGAUGGAAUUGCUACUAGCAGACUGCUCCAGAGGCAGAUGGGAUUCUAGCACUUGACCUACCCCCGUGAGAAUAAAGCUCUGUAUAAGCCCCUUUUUACUCCCAAACAUUCAGUUGUCAUUUUUUGGUCUCACUGAAUCCAGAGUGAACUUGCCCAGAGAUGGGAAUUCUCUCUGGCCAGGAGCUACAAUAAUGUAAGCAGAAUAUCCCUUUUCACACCCCCUUCCCUCUAGAAUGUUACACCUUGAGAUAUUUUUACUUUCACUUUUUUCCCUCUUAACAGGAACACUCAAAUAUGCUACUUUUCUCAUUGUUUAAAGCAUGCAUACUCAGACAUUAGGUUGAUUUUCUUCAAUAUGAAGAUACAUUUAUUUUUUAUGCUUUAUGUAAUAUGUACUUAUUAAAUAUAUAUAUAGAAUACCAAAAAAAUUGAUGAAUAUCUAUCACCUGAAAUCUCAUUUUCCUGAGAAACCAUCAUUAACAUCAGUCACCUGAGAAAAGCAAGAGGCAUUGAUGAACAAAUUGUGAACAUACUAGUAAAUCAGUUAAUAUUGGGUGUAAUUUAAAUAAUGACUGAUAUGGGAAAGGGCUAGAAAUAAGGUGAAAUGAAUAUUGUAGAUAAUAACACUAGGUAAGUGGGUGGAAUCAGGGUUAAAGUGUUACAAAGUCCUUGUUCUGGGAAAGGAUAGAAAUACUUUAUACCUUGUUGAAUAUGCAUGCUAAAAAUUGAAGGCUAGCCACCAAAAGAAAUAGACUACAUUGUAAAUCACUAGAGAGAAAUAAGGGAAUAAGGAGAUCUAUAAAUCCAAUGGAAAACAUUAUUCUUAAAGAAUAAUAAUGUGUUGUAGUUUUUUCUUUGAUAUUUCAGAAACACUUUGUAACUUACAUUACAAAAGGUAGAUAAUCAGGUGUUCUCCCCCAAUCCUAAGUCAAAAAAAGCUAGUACCUUUUUGGAGAAAGGAAGAAAGAAGAUAAAUUGGUGAUAUUAAAUUACUUCAUGAACUAAUAUCUCCUGCAGAAAGUAUUUAAUUUUUUCAAGUCUAGAAAUUAAUUAGGGCUAGUAAGGCAAUAAACAGGUUUAAUCAGUAUAAGAGUUACCCCUCUCUGUUGGACAGAAAUGAUUAAUUUAGACUGAUCUUUUGAGCAAGGUCUUUCACCACAUAAUGGCACAACAAAAUAUCUUUAAGUCAGAAUGACUGUUUUGCAUCAAGAUUCUCUGUCUUUUCAUUGUAUUUUAAUCAAAAGGGAGAAGGAGAUACUUUUUAUUCCUCCUCCUUUUGUCUUUACCAAAGAUAGCCCUACAAAUCGACACUUUUCCAAAGUAGAGACUGUCAGAUUGUUUUUAAAAUCCAGAUAUAAGAUGCAUACAAGAAGACUGAAGCAAAAUCAUAGAGAAAACAAAAUCCACUAAGCAAAUAAUAGAAAGAUGAUGUAUCAGUAUUAAUUGGUAUAAUCAGGGCUUCGUGAUAUUUUUUCUGUUAAGGUCCAGGUAUUAAAUACUUUAGGCUUUGUGGGCAAUACAGUUUCUCUUAAAACUACUCAACUCUUGCUGUAACAGUAAAGUAGCUACAUUAAUAGAUAACGUCAGUGAAUGAGUGUGACUGUAUGCUAAUAAAACUUUACAAAAACAGGCAGCAAACCAGAUUUGGCCCUCAGGAUGUAGAUUGCUGACCCCUGUUCUUAUUGUGUAAUGAUUAUACAGCAAUGAGGAAAAAAGGCAAGAUGCCAGCACUCAACUCAAAAAACAAUAAUCAAACAAAUAUAAUCUCAGGUAUUGAUAUAUAAAAUAUUUUUUAAAAACCUGUGAGGAGAUUGAAUGUAAUAGGAAACUAAGAUGGGGAACCUCUGAAAGCCUUUAAACAGAGACCUGAAUGAGUGUAGGGGAGUUGGAAAGGUCCUGGGUCCUGAGGCAGGAGGGAGAAGGAAACAAACAUUUGUGGAGCACUGACUACAGGCAGGAUACAGUCAGCAUUGACUUUUCUAUUUAUUCUCACAAUGGACAUUAUGCCCAUUUUACAGAUGCAGCAACUGACUCAGAGGUUGAGAGACUUGUCGAGUCUACCAAGCUAUAAAAUGGUGGAGCCAGGAUUCAUCCGCUGUACGUGUUGUCAGUGGACAAAUCUUCUCAUCUAGGGACUCAGCCUAAAUUGUCUACAUCUAGAGGGCUGGGCUAAACUCUAACUUAAGGACUCUGAAAGAAUUUCUCCCUUGCCUUGUGCCCUCCUUUGGGUUUGGUCUCUGGAGUCAGUGAUAUCAGUGCUAGAGGAGAGGACUUCCUGAAGGAGAUGGGUUUUGUUUCUUAAAGAGAAAAUUUGCAUAUAUGAACUUCCAUACUGCUUUCAAAUCUUUACUUUUUUUGCUGUUGAUAAUUGCUUUAUGGCCUAGUAUAUGAUGAGUUUUUACAGUGUUUGAUGUGUGGUUGAAUAAAACAUAUGUUCUCUAAUGGUAGGCACCAAUUUCUGUAGGCAUCCAUAAGAUAGGAUGUGUUCAAAAUUUCUAUAUCUUUACCGACUUAUUUUUGUUUGCUUGACCCAUCAAUAAUUUAGAAAAAAAUCUAUGGAAUCUCUGAGUAGUAGAUAUGCCCAUUUUUCUCCGUAAUACUUCCAUUUUUAAAAAAUGUAAUUUGAGCAUGUUUUAUGAGGUAUAUAGAAGUUUAGAGUUGUUAUAUCUUCAUGGGGAAUUGAACUUUUUAUUCUUAUGUAGUGACUUUUCAUAUGACUAGUGAUGCUUUUUGUUUAGAAAUCUGUUACUAGUACCACUAUUCCAGCUUUCUUUUGAUGAUUUGCCUGCUUUAUAUCUUUCCAUACUUUUACCUUCAACCUUUUCUUGGCUUUAUGCUUUAGGUGUAGCUCUUGCUGACACUUUAUAUCUGAAUUCUCCCCUCUUCUCUCAGUCUGAUAAUCUGUGCCUUUUUAAUUGGCAAGCUUAGUCUAUUUGUAUUUUGCAUAGUUAUUGAUAUAUUGGAUAUAUAUUAUACUGUCUUGAUUUUUUUUAUUUUGCUAUCAUUAAUGUAUAAUUACUUGAACAUUAUGGUUACUAGACUCCCCCUAUUAUCAAGUCCCCCCAACAUACCCCAUUACAGUCACUGUCCAUCAGCAUAGUAAGAUGCUAUAGAAUCAUUACUUGUCUUCUCUGUAUAUACUGCCUUUCCCGUGUC
This is an RNA transcript of Manis pentadactyla (Chinese pangolin), 6045 nucleotides long. It is a transcript of the gene named zinc finger protein 684-like, with no coding region annotated. The transcript is spliced from 5 exons. NCBI's taxonomy places the organism in Eukaryota, Metazoa, Chordata, Mammalia, Pholidota, Manidae. The record is from RefSeq and is a predicted model, not a curated record.